GAUGAAGAACGUAGUGAAAUGCGAUAAGUAAUGUGAAUUGCAGAAUUCAGUGAAUCAUCGAAUCUUUGAACGCACCUUGCGCCCUUUGGCUAUUCCGAAGGGCAUGCCUGUUUGAGUAUCAUGAACAUCUCAACUCCUCACGGUUCGCCCGUGACGAGCUUGGACUUUGGGGGUCUUGCCGGCCUGCGGGUCGGCUCCUCUCAAAUGAAUCAGCUUGCCGGUGUUUGGUGGCGUCACAGGUGUGAUAAAUAUCUACGCUUGUGGUUUUCCGCCAGGUAACCUCCAGCGAUGGGGGUUCACUGGAGCUCACGAAUGUCUCUCCUCGGUGAGGACAGCUCUUUGAACGUUUGAUCUCAAAUCAGGUAGGGCUACCCGCUGAACUUAAGCAUAUCAAUAAGCGGAGGA
Molecule: unclassified non-coding RNA, 405 nt
Filed under: soil metagenome
Description: partial contains 5.8S ribosomal RNA, internal transcribed spacer 2, and large subunit ribosomal RNA
Rfam family: 5.8S ribosomal RNA (bases 1-121)
Source: RNAcentral